This 31-nucleotide small RNA is filed under the name Durinskia baltica. Its description in RNAcentral is "partial Mitochondrion-encoded tmRNA". Lineage: Eukaryota; Dinophyceae; Peridiniales; Kryptoperidiniaceae. The record is from RNAcentral.
GAGCCAAAGGAAGAACUUGGCAUUUCCAUGG